AAUCGUUUGAUUUUAUAAUUUUUUUCCCAUAUGCGAAAAGCAAAAAAUAAAACUUUAAUAAUUGUAUGAAAAAAGAAUUAAUAAUUAUGUAUGUAUAUAACAUAUAAGUAUAUAUAUAACAAAAACAAAAGAUAUUCAAAAUUUUAAUAUAAUAGCUGAAAAAUGGCAAAAAGAGAAAAAUAUGCCUUAACAUAAAAUUAUAUUAAAAGGGAAGAGAGAAAAAAAUGUGAGGAUAAUUAAGGAAGAAAAAAAUAUGGCGAUAAUGUCAUUAAAUAUGGUGGAGUGGAAGUGAAAAUAUUUUAAGAUUAUAAUGUGAAAAUAAAUAAAAUUUAUUAAAAUUUAAAUAAAAUUGAUAAAAUACUAAUAUAAAAUAUACAAAUAAUGAGAGGAACAUAGAACCAACCAAUAAAACUUCUAUGUGUAUAUGAAAAAAUGAGAUGCAUUAAUAUUAAAAACACAACAGUAUAUAUAAAUAUAUAUUACAUUUUAAAUUCAGUCAAAAUAUGACAAAAAAAGAUAACUGAACAUUUUAUUAUUGAAAAUAAUUUUGCUUUCGAAAAAUUUUAUGUUUUUUUAAUGUUUUUCGUUAAAAAACAUUUUUUGUACUCCCGAAUAAAUAUUAAAAUAUUGUGGAGUUUUCUUUUGUAAUUGAAAAUUAUUGAUUAUCGUUUCACAAAAUAUUUAUUUUAUGAAUCGAUUAAUUGAAUGAAUAUUAAUGAUACCUAAAUAAAAGAGUAAAAAUGAAGAAUAUCAUGGUUGAACAUCAAUAUAUGAAAUUGAAAAAAAAAUAUGAGUAUUUAUAUAAAUUGAAGUAGUCGUAAAUAAUAUUGGCAUCAGAUAAUAUAAAAGUAUAUAUUGUAAAAAAAUACAUAUUCGUUAAUAAAAAUAUAUAUAUCAAAAUAUAUUAAUAUAAUAUAUAUAUAUAUACAAACAUAUAAACUUACUAAUAUCACUUUUACACGUACUUAAUUAAUAAUAUGUGUACAAAAUAUGUAACUGCAAAAAUUAAAAUAAAUUAAUGUACGCCACGCAAACUUAUGUAUGAGCUACAUUUGCAAAGCUUAUAAUAAAUGUAUGUACAUGUGAUAAAAAGUAAGAAAAAUUGGAAACAUUAUGGAUAGUUAUGUUUAUAUUAAUAUAUUUCAAUUUCAAAAUUAAGUUUGAAAAAAAAACCGAAAAAAAAAAUAACCACAAUAAAAGACAAGGAAUAUUUACGUAUGUACAUACAUGUGUGCAUGCAGAAUAUAAAUGAAGCGAUUUAAAAUGAGAAAAAAACAUAAUGUUAUUAUAUCGUUAUGGAAAACUGAAGACAAAGAAAAUUAAGUUGAAUGAGAAAAUUUCUUGACGACGAACAAAAAAAAAGGACCUAAACGAACGCGACGAAGAAACCGACGAUAUUAAAAGGUUCCUGCAUUAAAUAUCUAAAAAAACAACAAUAACAACGAGAUUAAUAUAAAAACAAAUUCCACUAUAUACAGAAAGAAAAUCGAAAAUUAUAUUGUAUAUAUACAAUGUACAAACCUUCAUAAAAUGUUUGUUUUCAUUGCUAUAUAUAAUUUCCGUGAUUAAUAAGCCAAGGAUUAAUACAAUAGAAAAAAAUAACGUUAAAAGGAUUAUCUCCAACAUAUAUUUAUUAUUAUAUGUAUGAUUCCGACGUUAUACAUAUACUUAGCACAAUAUAAUUGGGUCUACAGGCAUACAAAAGUAUAUAUACGUAUAAAUUAUAUAUAUGUACAUUAUAAAAUAAAAAAUCUUAGUGGAUUUUACAAUGCAAGCAGUAGACUAUAUAAAAAAGGUUUAAAAAUGACGCAUUUUUCCUGAAAGAAAACCUGCACAAAAAUUAAUUGAUAAGUCAAAAUCGUCAGUAGUUGUUUUUUUGAGAUUAAUUAUACUAAUACUAGAAUAUUAAUUACAAACCAAAUAAAAUAUAUUGAAAAAAUUAAGGAAAAUAAUUUUUCUUUAAAAAAUAAGUAAAUUUAAUGAAUUUGAAAUUUAAAGCGUGGAAACAUACAAAAAAAAAAGAUGGUGCAGUUAAAUGUAACAAGUUAUAUUAAAAAUAUUCUAAAAUUAAUACUAAUAAAUUUAAAACUUAUAAACGCUAAAAGGUGAAACAUUAUGAAAAUUUUAUUGCACAAAUUAAAUAAUUAUUAGAAAUUAUUAUUUUAAACAAAUGCAGCUUCUAUUAAAAUUUUGAGAUAGAAAAAAAUCGUAAAAUUCAUGUUUAAAAAAUCAAUUCAAAAUUAGAAAACCAAUAUAUGUAUAUGUACACAUAAUAUAUAUUAAGAUAUUAUAUUUAUAUAUACGCAUAUAUAAUCUACUUAUCUUAUAAAUAUGUGCUUAUGUGUAUAUUCAAUUAAGUAAAGAAAAAAAUAUCAGUAGCGGAAUGUGAUUAUAGAAAAGCAAAUUCAUCAAAUAGUCAAAUUCGAAUUUCUUGAACAAGUAAAAGGGGAAAGAAUAUUAUUUUUUUUCAUUAGAUUAUAAACGCAAAAUGGCCGAUAUGCCAGAUUUAUCGCAUUUAACACCUGAAGAGAGGGCUAUAAUUGAAAGUGUGAUGAUGAGACAGAAGCAGGAGGAGGAGAAAGAAAUUGAAAUUAUGCGGAGAAAGCAGGAUGAAGUAAACAUCUUAGAAGAUACUAUUCGUCAAAGAUCAGAACAACAAAAAAAGGCUGGUAUUGAACUUGAUGCUACGUGCCAUAUAUGUUUGAAAACAAAAUUUGCAGACGGUAUUGGUCACAUAUGUCAUUAUUGUAAUAUAAGGUGUUGUGCUAGAUGUGGUGGUAAAGUUACAUUGCGUAGCACUAAGGUUAUUUGGGUAUGUAUACUAUGUCGUAAAAAGCAAGAAUUGCUUUCAAAAACUGGUCAGUGGAUUAAUAAGCCUCCUCAAGACGGUUUUAGACGAAUUGAGCCAGAUGGGACUAGUGCUAUCGUCAACCCUCAUGAUACAUCUGAUAAACGUCCUAAAUUAGAACGGGCACGCAGUGCUGCAGAAAAAGAAAAUUUGCCAAUUCAGCGACAAAUCGGAGGUCUCCAACGUCAAUGGUCGCACGAUGUAUCAAUAGUUGUGGAUCGUCGAUACUCUAGUUCUGAUCCUAAUAAUGAUACAACAAUUAGUAUUAGUGGACCAAUAGGUGGUCAUCGUCGAAUACCACCUUUGCAACAUACGAUUGGGGGUUCCACUGUAGCAGGACAACAACAACUUCAACAACAACCGAUACAUCAGCAACAAAUGACAAGACAACAGCCAUACACCCCGCCAAUAAGUACUUUUACUUGCGGCCAGAGUCAAUAUGGAAGUAGUAUGGGCAGUGGUAUUGGAGCUGGGCGUACUUUGCCAACUGGAUCACAAAACUUGCAACGUCAAGCACAAUCGCAACAAGAACAACACUCGCUUCAGCCACAAAUUCAACAAGAAUCGUGUGGUAGUGUUUACCCAGAAGAUGAUCCAAAUUUUUAUAAGGGAGAAAUUGAUGGUUUAAUGCGACAACACCCACAUUUAGUACAUCCACGUCAACAACAACAAUUUCAACAGCAAUCAUAUAUGCCAUCACCAUAUUCUCAACAGCAACAACAAUUGAUGUCUGGUCAUCAUUUGCCAUCAUCACAGCGUGGUUCUCAUUUAACUAGUAGUAUAAGUGCAUACCAAAAAUUACCACAAAUUCCGACAAUUGGCGUUGGAGGAAUGAUUAGUAGUAAUACUAUUACUGGUAGUGCAGGUAGUGCAGGUAGCACAUACUUAUCAUCGGGUGGUGAUAUUCACAAAAAAUACAAAAGGCAAGGGGGAAUGUUAAGUGAAAUAACUGGUGGUGUACCCGGAUUAAUACCAUCAAGCAGCCAAUAUACACAUAGUUCUUUUAGUAGUUCCGAAGAGGAUAUGCAUCCACACUAUCCACAUGAUGUUGAUCAUUAUGGCCAAUCCUAUUAUGAUAAUCGAUGGAAUAUUGAACGUGAUACAGAUUUAACAUCAACCGAUUUAAUAAUUAGUAGUACGGAUAGUCGUUAUUCCCUUGGUGCAAAACAACUAGAUGUUCAACAAAAAAAUAUAUUUAACCGCACAAAUCAUGAUCGACAAGAACAAUCAUAUUAUUCACAAUCAUCACGCCAAAUACCAGAUACAGCAACAACUGGCCUUUAUCCACAACAAUAUCGUAGUUCACAAUUGACAGGAGCUUCAUCAAAUAUAUUAAACUAUCAACAAUCAGUGCCAUCGCUGUCAUUUACCGGUAAUACAUUAACAUCGAUUGGUCAAAAUCAAUAUGCUUCAUCAACAGAAGCGACAGCAGGAACUGGAACAUCUACUCUACCAAAUCCACAAAUAGUAAUAGGUGAACCAAUCAUUACCUCAUACGAUCGUUAUACGAAUAAUGAAACUUCGCAUAAUCCUUAUUGGGAUGAUACAACAUCAUCUGCACAAGAUAAUCGGCGUUAUACAGAACGUAGAAUAAAGAAAACUGUCCGUUUUGAUGGUCAUGAAGAUGAUGAUGAAAAUGAAACUGCAACCACUAUUACUGGACCUACUGCAGCAGUUUCAUUAGCUGUUGCUUCAUCAAAUUCUAGUGGAUCAAAUACUAGUAGUGGAUUAUUGCAACAACAGCACCAACAAAAUCUAAUCACUAGUAAUCUUAGUGGUACCGGUUCAUCAUUAACUGUUAGCAAUUUAAUUCAAAGCAGUUUACAUCAACCUUCAUCAAUUUCAACUGGAGGUCAAAUUUUAAUUGGUUCAUCCCAACAACAACAGGCUGCUCAUCAUAAUGCAUCUACAAAUUUAAUACACAAUUUAGGCGGUUCAUUUACAGGAGUUAGCGGUGGUAGCACACAAAUGUCAACUGAUGAUUGGUCAAGAUGGGAAUCAGAGAGACAAGGUAGUCAAGAUUCAGCCACUAAAGAUUCUGGAAUCGAUACAAGCAGUACAUUUACAAGUAGUGAAGAUUCUAAUCGUGGAGAUGGCCCAAAGAAUCCUGUUAAUUGGCAAGUAUCAGCUGAUAAUACUCGUAUGAUUGGUCAUAUGAUAUUAAGAAAAAAUUACGAUGGUGAAGAUAUAUUAGGUCUUAAAGUAGUCGGUUGUCAAUCUCCUCGUUCAAAUACAGGUAGUAGUACCAACACCGCUGGUCGCGGUGCACUUGUUGAAAAAGUUAAAAGGGGUUCAGUUGCUGAUUUAGAAGGACAUAUAAAACCAGGUGAUGAAGUUAUUGAAUGGAAUGGUCGUUCUUUGUACAAUAAAUCUGUUGAAGAGGUUUUUGAUAUUAUAAAUGGAAGUCGACAUGAACCCCAAGUUGAAUUAAUUGUGUCCAGAUCGCUAACAACUAAUCGAAGAGCUGCACAAACAUCUUGGCGACAAUCUCAUUCACCGACACACUAUCACAAAAAAGCUGACACAAUCGAAAUUCAUCGAGACAAACCGAGUGUACUAAUAACCUCACCUGGUUCGCCAGAUUUACAAUCAUCCGGGCGGCAAACUAGUAUUAGUGGUGUUGGUGGUGGUGGAAGUGGCCGUUAUUUAUCUGGGCAAAGAUUAGUACCAAGUGGUAUUCAACCAUUGCCACAACCACCACCACCAUCAACAUUAACUACAGCAAACGUGGGUGUGGUACAACAACAAUAUCAUCAUCUUUCGCAACAUUUUCACCAUAAUGCGGGCCAUUAUGGCUUACUCGGAAAUGUACAUAACGAAACAAAUGUUGAUGGACGGGUACAGCUGAAAUUAGGAUAUGAUAAAAAUACACUACAGUUUAUUGUUACUUUAGUGUGCGCAGCUGGCUUGACACUGAGAGGAAAUGGUACUGCAAGAAAUCCAUAUGCAAAGGUUUUCCUUUUGCCAGACCGCGGUAAUAAAUCGAAACGACGAACUAAAACUCUAGCAAAUACUUGCGAACCACGUUGGGGUCAAACAUUCGUUUAUACUGCUUUCAGACGUUCAGAUUUAAAUCAUCGAUAUUUAGAAAUAACUGUAUGGGAUUAUAUCCGUUAUGGUGCCAACGAAUUUUUAGGAGAAGUUUUAAUUGAUUUGACGCAACAUAUAUUAGAUGAUGAAGCUGAAUGGUAUCCCUUAUUAAAUCAUCAGGAAUCGAGUCAUAUCUUACGUAAAGACGAUCCUGGUGAAAUGGAAAUUAUAUUAACGCCGACUGAUCAUUUAUCACCACCAAGUACAACAUCACGCUUAAGUGACUCAGACACAACAUCUGAGUGCGAUAUUGAUGGAAUUACAACUGGCCGUGAUGGUGCCAGUAUAUCAUCACUAGGAAGCUCAUCUAGCCCACCGCCAGAGGUUGAAUCGUACGAACGUCGUUCGCGACGUGAUAUGUCACCACAAGGCCGCAAACGAGUGGCUGGCAUGGUAGCACGUGACUAUAGAACAGUAUCCGGAAUAGCACCAAGUUAUCAUAAUCAGCAGCAGCAAUCCAUUUCUUCUUCCGUUUAUCAACCACGACGUAAUGGUGGUGGUAGUAUCGGUUUAGGUCAAAGGAGUCAUUCGGCUGCACCAAGCGAUACUUACCAUCAUCAUCGUAGUAAUAGUCCACGUCGUGGUUCACUAUCACCACCAGACGAUCGAUAUAUUGAUUAUCCAGUUCUUCCAAUUCAAUCACAGCAUUCAACAUCAUCUGGUAACACAUCAUCUGCAACCGCUAAUAUAUCAUCAGCUUAUAAUACUUCACGUUUUCAAUCGCGUUCAGCAACUGCCACACCAACUGGUUCGCCAAAAAAGAGACAACUGCCACAGGUUCCUCAAUCAUCGCGCAGUGCUAUGAUACGUGAUCGUCUGGGUCAAGAAUUUGAGGAAAGAAUACCAGGUAGUAGAUUCGGACGACAUCGAACUCGUCAAGUACAUCAUCAAGCGACAUAUCGCAGCACUGGUAUGGGCGGUUGGGAACGUCAUUAUACCGGUUUAUCUGAUAGUGAUUUACAUUCAAUGGAUUCAAGGUUUCGCCCUAGGCAUUCACUAUCACCAGAUAAAGAUUUUAUGGGUGAUUUUGGUGAUUCUGAUAUGGAAUCUGUAGUUAGUGUAACCUCAAGUGCUUUUUCCACUCAAUCUGAACGACCACGAGGAUCAAGGGGAUUGAGAAGUCUGCCACGUUAUUGGCGCUAUAGUUAUGAGCGCUAUCCAAUGUCAGCAACGUCAGCUGCUGCAGCUGCUACUACUACUACUACUAUAAAUGCACCAAUACAACCACAACAUCUACUACCAUCAUCUACGAAUUCUUUUGCAGAGCACGUUAACUUAUUACAACAACAAACAUCACAACAACCACUACCACCACAACCAACACAAUUAACAAUGCCAACACAAUCACAAACACUUAAUACACAACCAAUUGAUAUACAAAUACCAACACAACCUGAAACAAUAACGUCGCUGCAAGAUACAAUUACAGAUGCAACUCCAACUCAUUUUAAUUCAUCUAGUUAUCAUUCAAUUAAUAAUAAUAUUCCACAUUCUAAUUCGUUACCACCACCAAUACCACCACCACAAUUUUUACCACCCAAUUCAUCUCAUCAUUAUAUUAAUUUUCCACAAUAUUUUCAACAUUUUCCACAAUUUAUCGCUAAAACAGCUGAUUUUAGUAGACAAUUACCAGAAAAAAUGUUUCAUAGAAGUAGUUCUUUGGGAGGUUAUCAUCCAUUAUUAACUAGACCAUGUAUAGAUUCAAUAAAACGCAUCACCACUCCUGUUGUAAAUUUUUUUCGCCCAUCCGAUCCUUUUUUGUAUGAUAACAUGACCAAUAUUAGCGACCCUUGUCAAUGUAGUAAAUGCCCUCAAUGUCCUCCACAAUGUUUUAAUCAAUGUCCUCAUUGCCCACCCAGUAGUACUCCAUUUUUCACAACUCACACAAGUCCACAUCCAGGUGAAAUAAUCGUCUCAAGUCAAAUGCCACCAUCAUUAUCAGCUCAGUUACAAGAUCCACAGUUUUUAACGAAUCCUUCUUUAGUUACGGAACCAUUAUCCUUACCAUUUUGUUGUAUUAAUGCUGCCCAACAACAACAGCAACAACAACAAAUGGAUAUAGAACAAUUCGAAAAUACAUUUCCAUUUCCUCUACAUAUUCGCCGUCCGUCAUUGUCGGUUUUUCAACCGUCAUCAGAACCAUCACUGCCAACUAUGUUUGAUCCAAUGUUAAGUGUUAGCGAUUGUAUCAGUCCUCCUAAUUUUACAUAUGAUCCUCUAAUGGUGGAUAAUGUCAAUAACACAGCUCAAGUUUCAGGUGAAGGUUUAGAAAAAACAGUUACUUCACAGAUGUAUUCAAAUCAGGGAGCUCCAGAGAUUCCUUUGAAAGGUAGUAGUAUAUAUGAUCCAUUAGAUUAUCGAGAAAGAAGAAGAACACCGGUAGUUCGUUUGGGAAGUGCAAAUGCCUUAACUCCAGAUGCCUUAAUAACAAGUGUUCCUAUUUCGGGUGCAACAGUACCAUUACCACCACAACCGCAAAAAAGAAAUCCACCACACCGACUUCUGCCUCAGCCACCUAUUCAAUCGAUUCUCAAAAAGCCUCGUCCUCAUAUACGUCGACAGUACUUUUCUGAGGGUUCGUCACACUCUUUAGAUUACGAUGAUUUAAUGUAUAGAGAUUUCUAUGAACCUAGAAGACGUGGGCGUUCUGUUCAUUACGCGGACGAAUAUUACAAUCGACCAUUAAGUGAAUCUUCUCGCCGUUAUAAUUCAGAAACAAAUAUUCGACAAACCCAUAUGGGUGCCUACAUAGAUGAUUAUCAUCCAUUGAGCCAUUCACAUUCCUUAGUUACGGAUGAUCGCAUUGUAAAUAUUGUAUAUGACUCAGAUGUAGGUUGGAAACGGAAAUCGGUGCAAGCUUUUUUUUCAAGAAGCCCUAAGCGACGUUCGAGUCUUAAUAGAAUGUUGAAUCAUUAUUCGGAUAGAAACCAAUUAUCAUUAGAUUUGACAAGAACAACAUCUGGUAACCAGAACAAUAAUAAUAAUAGACUUCCAUCGCCACAAAAACGUACAAAAUAUAGUGCCAAUACUGAGACUGAUUCUGAUAAUAUUAACAGAAAUAGUAGAAGACGUCAAGACUUAGAGGGGCAUAACAAAGCUCAAAAUAUGUCUAAUAUCGUGGACAUUUUAAGUGAAAAAACUGCCGAUAAUAUAGACGCACACGUUACGCUUAGCUAUACAAAUAGACAUAACAGAAGAAGACGCGGUUCCACAGUUCCUCGAACACAACAUGAAGACGAUGAAGGAUGGUAUUCUGAUGAACAUUCGCAGCCUCCUAAUUUCGAUGAUCUGUUUGAUAAAUCGGAAAGUCAAAGAAGGCAAAGAGGACCUCCACCUUCACCACCUGUAUUAGGUCAAGAUCAAACAAAACCGAUUUUAGAUAGAUCAACGAAAUCAGAAGAUAUGAAUCGCUCACCAAAACGUAGCUCUUUGAGCGCUCGUAGUCAGUCAGAAAAUCCGUCAUCGUCUUCAUCAUCACCACACCAAAAACGUCGUACACGCUUAGAACAAUUACAACAAGAAGAAACAAAUAAUAGUAGUAGUCACCCAGAUCGCUCUAGUUUAGUUAGUAUCAAUGAUCAGCCUCAAAUUUUUGAAUAUGAUAAAACAUCAUAUGAUGACAAUAACCUAGAUUAUAAAAAAAAUGAGACUGGUCAAAAUGAUAAAACAAAAUCCCAAAAUAUAAAUGUAUCUAAUAUAAAAAAGAAUACAACAAAUCCUAAUAGUAGUAGUGGCAAUAGUCCGGUAGGCAGUAAUGCUAAUAAUGCUUCUUCUUCAUCUUUUACAAAUAAAAAUUCAUCAUCAUCACAUGGUGUUGCUCUGCAAUCCACUACACCAAAACGUGGUUCAUUAAAACAAAACAAACAAUCAACAAAUGAAUCAUCAACAAAAACGGAAACAUCAACCACUACAACAACUACAACAACUACUACAACAACUACUACAACUACUACAACAACUACAACAACUAAACCAACAACUUCAUCUACUGAUAAUGUUGAUGUUAUUGACGAUUUAUUUAACGAUGACGAUUUGUUUCCUCUGGAUGACUUUAUUAGUGAUUACGGUGAAGACCGUAAUGUACGUAAAGUACCAUCUAAUGAUAGCGGUAGUGGACGUGGUGAUACAAAAUCCAGUGCUACCAGCCAAAAAGAUUCGGCUGGAGGACGUGGAGGUAGUCAAGCUGGUAGCGGUGGAGGCAGUGGCAGCAGUGAUCGUGAUAAGGCCGAUCGUGGUGCUGAAAGUGGAAGCGAUCGUGGCGAUGAAGGUACGUUCAGUCGAAGUAUAUCGAAUGCGGAUGGAACGCCCGAAGAUAAAAUUGAUGGUUGUCUUUCAGAUUCUGCAGUAGGUAAGAGUAAGACUCCGGGGGAGCAACGGUCUCCUAAGAGUGAUGCUGGUAGCAGAGCAGGUGACCGUUUUGGUUCUGGAAUGGGAAAGAAAAGUAAUUCAACGUCGCAACUCUCAGCAACAGACCAAGGGGUUUCUCAACAUUAUCAUCAACAAAAUCAGCAAAGAGGUAGUCGUGGUUCCGCUGGUAGUAUUCAAAGAUCAUGUGAAGUUGCACCAUAUUUGUCCUCAAUUGUACAUCAACAAGGUACUGCUGGCACUUAUCGCGCUGGUAGUUUACAUUCCAUAUCUACAAGUUCCGAUGGUUCAUCUAGAUGGUCACCAUCUUUACGUAUGAAUGAAGGACAAUUAUCUGAUUUUAUUGAUGGUCUUGGUCCAGGCCAAUUGGUUGGUAGACAAGUUUUAGGUGCACCUUCAUUAGGUGAUAUUCAAUUGUCCAUGUGCCAUCAAAAAGGAUUUUUAGAAGUUGAAGUAAUAAGAGCUCGUGGACUACAAGCUAAACCUGGUUCUAAGAUGCUUCCAGCACCAUAUGUUAAAGUUUAUCUUGUUUCCGGUAAAAAAUGCAUAGAUAAAUCGAAAACAACGACUGCUAGAAGAACUUUAGAUCCACUAUACCAACAACAAUUGGCCUUUAAAGAACCAUUUGCAGGUUGUAUACUACAAGUCACCGUAUGGGGGGAUUAUGGACGAAUCGAAAAAAAAGUUUUUAUGGGAGUUGCACAAAUUAUGUUAGAUGAUUUAAAUUUAUCAAAUAUUGUGAUUGGAUGGUACAAACUGUUUGGGACAACAUCACUGAUACUACCAAAGGAUGAAAAAGCUACUGUAACGUAAAAAUUUAUGUAAUUAUAUAUGCUUAAACAUUUUCCGAUUUAUUUAACCAAAUUGCAAAUUAAAAGCAAAAAAGCAAAAAAAAAAAACAUUAUAUAAGCGUUUUGAAUUUAUUACAACAAAAGUUAAUUUUUAUGAUACAACAGUAAUGAAACAAUAAUAUGUAUAUAAAAUAUAUAUAUACAAACAGAUAUAACUAUUUCCAAAAGUUACACUUUCGACUUAGUUUAUAGUAAAAUCAAAUAGGAUGGAUAUACAACGGAUACAUUUUAUACACACGUGAUGAAUAUUUACUCCUUUAUUUCUUAAUAAUUUUCAAAUCAAAUUCCUUUCUGUACGAAGUAUGAAACAUGUGACGUAUAAAAGCCGAACAGACAACAGAAUUUAAUAUACAUACAUAAAUAAAAUUAAAUUUAGAUAAAGGAAAAUUCAAAAUAUCAAGAUAAAGAAUUUAAUAUUAAAAAUAAAUCAAACAAAUUAAUGGUCCAAAAAUCAAAUAAAGAAAAAUACAAAAAAAAAUUAAUUAACAAUUCAAACAUUUAAUUAAAUAUAGAAUUUUUUUAUUUAUGUAUACGUAAUACAUACAUAUAUAUAUAUAAUGCUAUAAAAACUAUAUGUGUAUAUGCAAAAUUUGUAAGAAAUAUUUUACAAAAAAAAAUUUAAAUAAAAUCAAUUCCAAAUUUAUAUUUAUAAUUAAUGGAAUACGGAAAAUAUAAGCUGAACACAAAACUAAAAAAAACCAAGAUCAACAAACUCAUAUUUUCAUUAAACAAGAGGCGGAACAAAAUAUUGUUUAACAAACUUCUUAUUUCUACGUCUUGCCGCUUGGCAUUAAAAUUUAAAAUCAUGACUCCAUGUAUGUACAUACAUACACACAUAGUUUUUUAAAUGUAAGCGAGUAAACAAAACUUUUUAGUUACUAAGCUUGUUCAAAAAUAAAUCACCUAACAGCGAAUUGUUCGAAUCUCUUAUAUUUUUUUAGUUUGAAUAAUACGGCUAAUUUGAUUCAAUAAAUGAGUGAACGGUAAUUUAAAUGAGCUUUUGCGGUUACAAAUUUUUAAAACUAAAAAUAAAAUUGCAUAAUUGUGUUAACAAAUAUACAUUUAUAUUAAUAUAUGUUCCACAAAACCAGGACAGUUCGUUAGUAGGCGUGCCUAAAAAUUAAAUAUUUAUGAAAUUGUUAAAGUGCUUGUUAAAUGUUCAACUAAAAAGUAAUUUUGAUAGAAAUAAGUAGAUCAUGUAGUGAAAAUUUUGAGAAAUUUUUCUAACCGGAAGAAAAAUUUGCCAAAAUUCAAGCAUAUAAGACAUCAAAAAAGAUUUAUUAUUCGUUCAUCAACUCAACUAAUUGAUUCUUAAGAUCUAAAUGUGAUCUAAAAAAUUUUUAUACAAACAAAUAAAAGUAUGUAUAUUAAAAUUUUCCCUCACUAAAAAUGUAUCAUAUACAUAUUAUAUAUGAACAUGUGUAUUUAAAGUACAAUAUUUAUUGAGGAACUUAAAUAAGAGCUUGUUUUAAUAUUUUUACCUCAAAUUAUCAAAAAUAUUUCUAGAAAAUAGAAUAUCUAUUAAAAUAUAUGUCAAAUAGAAGUUCUUGAAUAAAUUUUCUUGAUAUUUCAAACUUGAAAUCCAACUUGUUGCAGUAAUUCAGGAUGUAGUUUAUGUUUUGCAAGUAAGCAAAAGUGAUGUACGCUGUACUGUAACUAUUCUACAUAAUGUAGUGCGAUAUUUAAAAACGCUAAAAAUUUGUUUAGAAUAUUGAAAAUUAACGUAACAGUUUUGAAACCUUUUAAAAAAAUUUCGUCACGAAUAAAAUUAAAAUCAGGUAAAAGUUUAUGUUAUUCAAAAUAUAACAUUCCAUUUUCAAAAAUUCAGUGACUUAUUACUAGUUUCGUUUCAAUUGUAUUCGUUUCCAUUUCAAACUUUUUCCAUUAUUAUUAUCCUAAAAGAAAUAAGUGUUCAAAAAAGUAAGAAAUGAUCAAAAAAUAAUAUAUACUUACAAAAAUACUUAAAUUUUUCCUGAAAAAAACAAAAACCUUUAAUACAUACUUAUAUAUUAUAUUUUCUUUUUGUCACUGCAUCAUAAAACAAAUGGCAUUUGUCUGCAGAGAAUGUUGUCAAACUUACGCAAAAUUACAAACUUAAACUAUAUGUUAUAAGCAGAAAAACACCAAAAACUUUUUGCAUCUGCAGAUGUAAUUUAGUACUGCCGUCAUGAACUCGAUUCUACUGACUUUUAAAUGCAAUAAAAGUUAAAUUUUUUUAGCUUUCUGCUUUUAUACAUUCAUAUAAGAAACUUUUGACAAUUUUUUUUUCUCCAAAAACGUUAAAAAAGUCUGUGCUAAAAUUAAAAUUCUAUGUUUUGAAGUAAAAACCUUUUUUAUUCUAAAAAUAUUAAAGGCAUCUAGAAAAAUAUAUUUUGUAUGGCUGAAAUGGAAUAGAAUUUCUAGAUGGACAACAGUUAUUCGAAUUUAAUAAAACCAAGUCGUUUUUUGAUAACCAAUUUUUCAAGUUUUUUUUUGCAUUUCUUUAAAGAAUGAUGAAUAAGCAAUUUUUAAAUGUGACAAAAUGAAUGACGAAGAAAACAUUUAAUUUUCAAAUAUUAAUUAUUUCCCGAUUUAUUGAAAUAAUUUUUAUAAUUUGUUUUGCAAAGUCAAGCGAAUGACAUAAUUAACAUGAUUGUAAAAUCUUUGACAUUACUCGGAAAAGGCUCUUAUUACUAAUGUUAAAUUUAUCGUAUUUUUUUAAGUUUCAGAUAGGUUUUCAUAUCAUAUAAAGAUUCAAAAUUUCUUAGGUGGAAAUUUUUAACAAGCAUUCUAUUUUUCAUACAUUUUAUAUAUGAAAAACGUUGAUCGAGUACUACAAUUUUUAUCUAUGGUACAAUGGAGUCAUAUUUUUUUUUAUUUUUUGUAUUAAGUACAUUAAACAAAUAAUUUGUAAAUUUUUUAUUAUUUAAUAUUUUAAUUAAUAAUACUUUAAUAAUAGAAAUAAAAAAUAUUAUCAAGUUAAAAAUUCCAAAAUCUUUUUACAAAACUCUUUAUAACACUAAUCGAUAAAUUACAGAAACCCAAAAUAACUAAAACAAAAUUGAUAAAAUUUAAAUAAAUGUAAAAGCAAACCUAAGUAACAAAAAAAAAUAUUAUGAACCAUAAUAACAGAAAUAAAUAACAUAGAAUAAUAUUAAAAUAAAUGGAAAAACAAAAAAAUACAUGUGCAUUACCUGUAUGUAUGUAUAUAUGUAAAUUAAUUUAUACAUUUGCUAUAACUUACUUGGGAAUUCAUUUCGUAAGCGUAAUAAUAUCUAUACACUCAUGUAUAUUAUAUAUGUACAUGUACAUAUAUGAAAAUUAUUUUCGCGAGCUAAAGUAGAAAAUUUUCAAAGAAGAUAAACUACAUACAUACGUUAUGUACAUAUAUUUACAUAAUUCGAUAAUAUCAAAAUUCUCUUCAAGAUAAUUUAUAUGUGAAGAAGAAGUUGUAGAUAUAAUUUUUUAAAAAUAUUUUCCAAAAAAAUAUAUACAUACACACAUGUAUAAAAAAUAUCAGAAAACUAUUAAAAUAAAAAAAACAAUAUGAGAAAAUGAAAGUAAGAGAAAAUAAUAGAAAAAAAAAUGUAUUUGAAAAAAAUUUGAUUAUGAAUUAUAAAAUAUUUAUGUGUAUAUAUAUUAAAAUUAAUAAAUAAAAAAUAUUUUAGGGUUUUUUUUUGUAAAUAUAUUAUGUAAAAAAAAAUUGAUUAUGUUACUAUAUAUAAGUAAUUUCAAUUAAUAUAAACAUAGCAUUUAAUAGAAAAUUUAUUAAAUUGAAAAAUAUUGUUGAAAUAACUCAGAAAACCAAAAAAAAAAAACAGUGUAAAAGAAAAAUAUUAUUUAUUACUUAGUCAUGAAUUUAUUAAUUAACUGGAUAAAGACAGACAAAUAUCACUACAAAAAUUCACAAUUUACAAAUUCUUCAUAACAGUUUGCGUAUAUGAUGUAAAUAUUUAAUAAUAUUAUGUAUAAGAAGUAAACACAUGAAAUUUUGAAAUCAAGAUUUACAUUGCGCCUUCCGAUAAGUAAAAAUUAAAAUGAAAAAAAAAUACAAUUUAAAAUUUAACAAAAUACAUAGAAUAAAACAAAAAAAAAAAGCAUUUUGCUAUAUUAAAUAAUAUUCUUUGUAAAUAGUUUAAUUAAAAAAUAAAAUAAUUAAUGUAAAAAAAAAAAUAAAAGAAAAAAUGAGAAAACUACAAGUACGUACCGUUAAAAAUUACAUUGUAUAAUUAAUUAAUCUAAAAAACCAAAAAAAAACAAACAAAAAAAAAAUUCAAUAUAAAUUUAAAGAACAAAUAAAAUUUAAAAAAGACAACGCUAUUUAAAAUAAAAUCAAUUUUUACAAUUAUAAUUAUUAUUGAUUAUUAUUGAAUAUUAUUCCAA
This is an RNA transcript of Condylostylus longicornis, 15516 nucleotides long. RefSeq lists it as uncharacterized. The record is from RefSeq and is a predicted model, not a curated record. NCBI's taxonomy places the organism in Eukaryota, Metazoa, Arthropoda, Insecta, Diptera, Dolichopodidae. The transcript has 24 exons.